UACGAAGGGGGCGAGCGUUGUUCGGAAUUACUGGGCGUAAAGGGCGCGUAGGCGGCGACUCUAGUCAGAUGUGAAAGUCCUGGGCUUAACCUGGGGACUGCAUUUGAUACUGGGUUGCUUGAAUUCGGGAGAGGAUAGCGGAAUUCCCAGUGUAGAGGUGAAAUUCGUAGAUAUUGGGAAGAACACCGGUGGCGAAGGCGCACAUCUGGCCCGAUACUGACGCUGAAGCGCGAAAGCUAGGGGAGCAAACGGG
RNAcentral lists this ribosomal RNA (253 nucleotides) under uncultured bacterium. Its description in RNAcentral is "partial 16S ribosomal RNA". It matches the Rfam family "Bacterial small subunit ribosomal RNA", at positions 524 to 776 of the family's 1533-position model. The record is from RNAcentral.